CGGGAGUGGCUCAGUGGUAGAGCGUCGCCUUGCCAAGGCGAAUGUCGCGGGUUCGAAUCCUGCCGCCCCAGCCA
Molecule: transfer RNA, 74 nt
Filed under: Clostridiales bacterium
Lineage: Bacteria; Bacillati; Bacillota; Clostridia; Eubacteriales
Description: tRNA-Gly
Rfam family: tRNA
About the family: Transfer RNA (tRNA) molecules are approximately 80 nucleotides in length. Their secondary structure includes four short double-helical elements and three loops (D, anti-codon, and T loops). Further hydrogen bonds mediate the characteristic L-shaped molecular structure. tRNAs have two regions of fundamental functional importance: the anti-codon, which is responsible for specific mRNA codon recognition, and the 3' end, to which the tRNAs corresponding amino acid is attached (by aminoacyl-tRNA synthetases). tRNAs cope with the degeneracy of the genetic code in two manners: having more than one tRNA (with a specific anti-codon) for a particular amino acid; and 'wobble' base-pairing, i.e. permitting non-standard base-pairing at the 3rd anti-codon position.
Source: RNAcentral